This 497-nucleotide ribosomal RNA is filed under the name uncultured bacterium. RNAcentral's name for it is "partial 16S ribosomal RNA". It matches the Rfam family "Bacterial small subunit ribosomal RNA", at positions 899 to 1397 of the family's 1533-position model. The record is from RNAcentral.
ACUCAAAUGAAUUGACGGGGGCCCGCACAAGCGGCGGAGCAUGUGGCUCAAUUCGAUGCAACGCGAAGAACCUUACCUGGGCUGAACUACGCGGGAAAAGCCAUAGAAAUAUGGUGUCCUUCGGGGUCCGCGAUAGGUGGUGCAUGGCUGUCGUCAGCUCGUGUCGUGAGAUGUUGGGUUAAGUCCCGCAACGAGCGCAACCCUUAUCCCAUGUUGCCAGCGGGUAAUGCCGGGGACUCGUGGGGGACUGCCGGUGCCAAACCGGAGGAAGGUGGGGACGAGGUCAAGUCAUCAUGCCCCUUACGUCCAGGGCUGCACACAUGCUACAAUGGCCGGUACAAAGGGCUGCGAUCCCGCGAGGGGGAGCUAAUCCCAGAAAGCCGGUCUCAGUUCGGAUCGUAGUCUGCAACUCGACUGCGUGAAGUCGGAGUCGCUAGUAAUCGCAGAUCAGCAUUGCUGCGGUGAAUACGUUCCCGGGCCUUGUACACACCGCCCGU